GAGCUUCAUUCCAUUCCCUCCAAUGGAAAACAAGGUUUUGGUCCGGUCAGCAUGGUAGCGCCAGAUGUGAGGUUAUAGAACGUCCUAAAAGCGAGUGAAACAGGUAAAAUGAAUGUAUGGUAUCUGUAGUGUUGUCUGUGUUGCAAGAAGUAUAACUCAAGGCUUGUAGACACAAGUGAGUCGAUGGUAUUCUUUCAAGAAAUUUUGACUUGCUAAUAAAUUAAACUAUUGUUUGUGUG
Molecule: small RNA, 239 nt
Filed under: Oryza sativa Japonica Group (Japanese rice)
Lineage: Eukaryota; Viridiplantae; Streptophyta; Magnoliopsida; Poales; Poaceae
Description: misc RNA Os04g0449900
Source: RNAcentral